AUGGGAAGAACAUGUGUGUUUGUUCAUCAUGGGGACAAAGACGCCUUUUUGAAAGGCAAUAUAGAACCGGACCCGGAUGAGCUUGACAUGGUGUUUGAUAGUAGUCCUAGCUAUGCGGAGCUCUUGCAACAAGUUAGGAAAGAUUUGCAUUGGAUGGACCCUAGUGAUAUCAUUGAGUUGGAGGGAAGGCAUAAUGUUGGUUUUGGAAUGCACAUCCGUUGGAAGACAAUGCGUGUCAACUCGGAGCAACGUUGGGUUGCAUACAAGGAGACGGUGGCCGAAUCACUAGACAAGGCUCUUGAGUUAUUUGCAACGAAGAAGGUUGAUUCAAGUUUGCAUUUGGACUUGAACCGGAACCCCUCCCCUUUGGUUGCUAGUAGCCCCCCACCCUUGAAGCGAGAUGAAAUUGUUGAACCUCUUUUGACCCAAGAAGUGAGGCCAACAUUGAGCCCGUUUACAAACAACCAAGAUGAAGCAUUGCAAGAGGACAAUGAUGAGUAUGCGGACGAUGACAAUGAAGUUGAUCUCCAUGACAACAAUGUGGGUGAUCUCGAUAAAUAUCAUUUGCAAGAGACAAUGGACCAUUCCAUCCCUUUUUCCCGUGCAUAUGCAUCGGACUUGGAUGACAAUGGUCCCGAUGAACCAGUUGAUGCGGAGGGGUUCACGGUGAAGGAGGCCGAAGCUUUCGAGAAGGUAUUUGGUCGGGAUCAUCGGACUACAUUGUUCAAGGAUGUUAGUCUCGCGGAUGAAGCCGUGGUAGAUGGUGGCCAAUGUGUACCUCUUGGGGUUAGGCCAAGCUCUCACCGUGAUUUGGUAGACGACAAGAACCGGAUUGCUAAAGGUUCUAAGUUCGACACCUUGUUGGAAUUGAAGAUGUGGCUCGACAACUACUCGGUUACGCAUUAUCGUCCACACAAGGUGGUGAACUCGGACGUCAAUGUGCGCUACAUAGUUGCAUGUGCAUGUGAAGAUGAAAUAUGUCUAUGGAUUGUGCGUGCAAGACCAUGGAAAGGAGGUCCAACUUGGCAUGUAGUGAGUUGUGUGCCAACUCACUUGUGCCAAGGCAAAAGGUUGGAUGGCAAGAUUGUGUCCCAAGACCACAAACAACUCACGUCCGAGUUCAUCGCUUACAGGCUCUCCAACUCAAUAUCCACACUUCCAACAAUGAGCGUCCAACAUGUCAUUGAUCUUGUGAAAGCCAUCUUUCAUUACAAGGUGAAAUGCGGCAAGGCAUGGAAGGCGAAGCAAGCCGCAUUUAAGAUGUUGUAUGGUACAUGGGAGGAAGCAUACAACCGAAUCCCUAGGUUGUUGUUAGCCAUGGCCGCGACAAAACCGGGCAUGGUUCAUGUGGUCGAGCCUCAUGGGCACCAAACAACGGUUCAUGAAGGAAGGAAAGUCAGAGUAUUUGGCCGUGCUUUUUGGGCGUUCGAGCAAUGUGUGAGGGCUUUCGAACAUUGUAGGCCGGUCAUCGCAAUUGAUGGCAUGUUCUUGACCGGACAAUACAAGGGCACCUUGUUGGUUGCGAUAGCAAGUGAUGCCAAUAACCGGGUGUUACCAUUGGCAUUUGCUUUUGUUGAGGUGGAAAACAAUGACAACUGGGAGUGGUUUCUGCAUCUUUUGAGGACGAAGGUGUUACCCGCUCAAAGGGAAAUUUGUGUCAUAUCGGAUCGGCAUCCAGGAAUUCUUAACGCGGUGGAGAUUGACAUUCCCGGGCAUGCUCCGUUGCACCAUCGAUGGUGCAUGAGGCACUUUUGUUCGAACUUCUAUAGGGCAUGUGGCCUUAAGGAGUUGGCCGAUGAUCUUCAAGAUUGUUGUCUCGCUUUCUCCGAUAAGAGCUCCGCCACUUUGUACAACAAAUUGCUCGCACACAAAAAACUUGAUCCCGGGGGUCAAGACUUUCUCAAUAGACACAUUCAAUACCGGAACAAGUGGGCACAUGCUUUUGAUGAAGAUGGCCGGAGAUAUGGUCAAAUGACAAGCAAUAUGGCCGAAUGCUUCAAUAGGGUGCUCAAAGGUGCACGUGGAUUACCCGUGACGGCAAUAGUUCAAUACACAUUUGACAAGAUGAAUGCGUACUUUUUAAAGUACUCGAUGGAAACCGAUGCACAAAUAGCGGGUGAGAACCCACGGAAGUACAAGUACAAGUUCCCACCCAAAGUUGAUGAAUGGUUGGUAUUUCAAUCACGGAAGUGUUUGUGCAGCGCCUAG
RNAcentral lists this ribosomal RNA (2208 nucleotides) under Triticum aestivum (bread wheat). RNAcentral's name for it is "partial small subunit ribosomal RNA". The record is from RNAcentral. Lineage: Eukaryota; Viridiplantae; Streptophyta; Magnoliopsida; Poales; Poaceae.